AGAGUUGAUCUGGCUCAGGAUGAACGCUAGCUACAGGCUUAACACAUGCAAGUCGAGGGGCAUCAUGGAGUUGCUUGCAAACUCUGAUGGCGACCGGCGCACGGGUGAGUAACGCGUAUCCAACCUUCCCUAUAGUAGAGGAUAGCCCGGCGAAAGUCGGAUUAAUACUCUAUGUUUUCCGUUGCAGACAUCUAAGAUGGAACAAAGGCUUGCCGCUAUAGGAUGGGGAUGCGUCUGAUUAGGUAGUCGGCGGGGUAACGGCCCACCGAGCCAUCGAUCAGUAGGGUUCUGAGAGGAACGGUCCCCCACAUUGGAACUGAGACACGGUCCAAACUCCUACGGGAGGCAGCAGUGAGGAAUAUUGGUCAAUGGGCGAGAGCCUGAACCAGCCAAGUAGCGUGCAGGACGACCGGCCCUAGUGGGUUAGUAAACUGUCUUUUAUGGCGGGGAAUAAAGUUCACUACGUGUAGUGUUUUGUAGGUACCGCAUGAAUAAGGACCGGCUAAUUCCGUGCCAGCCGCAGC
RNAcentral lists this ribosomal RNA (524 nucleotides) under uncultured bacterium. Its description in RNAcentral is "bacterial SSU rRNA". It matches the Rfam family "Bacterial small subunit ribosomal RNA", at positions 8 to 518 of the family's 1533-position model. The record is from RNAcentral.